GAAGAACCAAAAGUAAUCAGUGCUGUAUCAGAAGCCCUCUUGAUGUUUUCGUGUUUGGAACAAUAAUACGUCAUUUGCACAAAAACAAAGUCGUAUCAACAGACAGAAAAAAACUGCAUCAUUGAAAACCCUAUACCUCACUUUAUUCCGAGCUUAAAACGAAAUUACAUAAAUACAUAGUGAACGAAAAAUAAUUAUAACAUAUUUUUUUUAUAAGACGAAAAAUAAUCAGCAGUUCAUAUUACAUUAUAAUACGAAAAAAGUAAAGGAUAG
Cinara cedri is the source of this 273-nucleotide non-coding RNA. Lineage: Eukaryota; Metazoa; Arthropoda; Insecta; Hemiptera; Aphididae. The record is from the annotation of a GenBank genome assembly.